UGCUGCUGCAUGGCUGCUUCACAGAGGACUUCGCUUAGCAAUUCCUUGAAUAACCAGGUCUGUUCUCUGCAGUUUUAUUUCCAGGCUUCCUCCAAAUCCUGAGCUUCAUUGUCUUGUGCUCCCUGCACGUUAAGAUGCCACCAGUGACUGUGUUUGUCAGUCCUUCUCAGUCUGUGGACAGUAAGUCCUAGAGAGCAGCACCCCCGGACAGCCUCUCUAACAUUUGUGUUGGAAAUGUGUCACCCACGCAGUGCAGCCUGGGGCUGUCUGCAUGAAGCCACAGUGACCUCAUAGCAGUUUGUCUGGACAGCUGAGACCACCCAUAAAUGCAGGUGCCUGCAGGUGGGAGGCUUCCACUCUUGUUUGGAGAAGGCUUCUUCCCCUGUUUCCUAUCAAUCAGGUGUUCUGGUUUUGGUUCAGGUACUUUUCUUCACAGUGGCUGGCAUGGGGCUCUGUGUUGGAUUCGUGCUGAACACAGAGUUGACAACAGAGAGAUGUUUUUGUUAUUGCUGAGCAGGGCUUGCACAGAGCCAAAGCCUUUUCUCCUUUUUGUACUGCCACACUGCCUUCCAAUUUCCUCCCUGAUCUCACUGCUGGGAUAGAGCUGCUAUGUGGGGAUUGGCUGCUGGCUGGGGUGAAACCAGGACAACAGGUCACUGAUGG
Passer domesticus (house sparrow) is the source of this 663-nucleotide long non-coding RNA. RefSeq lists it as uncharacterized. The transcript has 3 exons. The record is from RefSeq and is a predicted model, not a curated record. Lineage: Eukaryota; Metazoa; Chordata; Aves; Passeriformes; Passeridae.